UACGAAGGGGGCUAGCGUUGCUCGGAAUCACUGGGCGUAAAGCGCACGUAGGCGGCUUUUUAAGUCAGGGGUGAAAUCCUGGAGCUCAACUCCAGAACUGCCUUUGAUACUGGGAAGCUUGAGUCCGGAAGAGGUGAGUGGAACUCCGAGUGUAGAGGUGAAAUUCGUAGAUAUUCGGAAGAACACCAGUGGCGAAGGCGGCUCACUGGUCCGGUACUGACGCUGAGGUGCGAAAGCAUGGGGAGCGAACAGG
RNAcentral lists this ribosomal RNA (253 nucleotides) under uncultured bacterium. Its description in RNAcentral is "partial 16S ribosomal RNA". It matches the Rfam family "Bacterial small subunit ribosomal RNA", at positions 524 to 776 of the family's 1533-position model. The record is from RNAcentral.